UAUGAGGCUGAUCUGGCUGCUGUACGUGUGACCCCAUCAACUGCUAGGGCUGAGCUGGCUAAUCUGAAGGGCUAGCAUCUCCUUCAUCUGGUCCUCACUGAGCUGUGGACAACCCUCUAAAAGCUGAAUGCUCUGUCAAAAAGGAUACCCUUCCCAGACUGGAAGAGCUGUUCUUCAAAGGUAUUCAGGUGCUAUACUGAUGUGAAGAAACACAGCUUUUGGGCUCUUCUGCCGACAUUGUUCUGUGAGCUUUUCUUAAUUUCUGGAGUGCUCAAUGCAUUAUCUAGGUCUAU
RNAcentral lists this small nuclear RNA (293 nucleotides) under Piliocolobus tephrosceles (Ugandan red Colobus). RNAcentral describes it as "7SK RNA (ENSPTEG00000004564.1)". It matches the Rfam family "7SK RNA". From Rfam's summary of the family: 7SK was discovered as an abundant small nuclear RNA in the mid-70s but a possible function has only recently been suggested. Two independent studies have found that 7SK RNA binds the CDK9/cyclin T complex (known as elongation factor P-TEFb). The record is from Rfam by way of RNAcentral. Lineage: Eukaryota; Metazoa; Chordata; Mammalia; Primates; Cercopithecidae.